AUUGAACGCUGGCGGCAGGCCUAACACAUGCAAGUCGAGCGGAUGAAGGGAGCUUGCUCCUGGAUUCAGCGGCGGACGGGUGAGUAAUGCCUAGGAAUCUGCCUGGUAGUGGGGGAUAACGUCCGGAAACGGGCGCUAAUACCGCAUACGUCCUGCGGGAGAAAGUGGGGGAUCUUCGGACCUCACGCUCUCAGAUGAGCCUAGGUCAGAUUAGCUAGUUGGUGGGGUAAAGGCCUACCAAGGCGACGAUCCGUAACUGGUCUGAGAGGAUGAUCGGUCACAAUGGAAGUGAGACAGGGACCAGACUCCUACGGGAGGCAGCAGUGGGGAAUAUUGGACAAUAGGCGAAAGCCUGAUCCAGCCAUGCCGCGUGUGUGAAGAAGGUCUUCGGAUUGUAAAGAACUUUAAGUUGGGAGGAAGGGCAGUAGGUUGAUACCUAGCUGUUUUGACGUUACCAACAGAAGAAGCACCGGCUAACUUCGUG
RNAcentral lists this ribosomal RNA (484 nucleotides) under uncultured bacterium. Its description in RNAcentral is "partial 16S ribosomal RNA". It matches the Rfam family "Bacterial small subunit ribosomal RNA", at positions 30 to 507 of the family's 1533-position model. The record is from RNAcentral.